AGUGAACGCUGGCGGUAGGCCUAACACAUGCAAGUCGAGCGGCAGCACAGUAAGAGCUUGCUCUUACGGGUGGCGAGUGGCGGACGGGUGAGGAAUACAUCGGAAUCUACUUUUUCGUGGGGGAUAACGUAGGGAAACUUGCGCUAAUACCGCAUACGACCUACGGGUGAAAGCAGGGGAUCUUCGGACCUUGCGCGAUUGAAUGAGCCGAUGUCGGAUUAGCUAGUUGGCGGGGUAAAGGCCCACCAAGGCGACGAUCCGUAGCUGGUCUGAGAGGAUGAUCAGCCACACUGGAACUGAGACACGGUCCAGACUCCUACGGGAGGCAGCAGUGGGGAAUAUUGGACAAUGGGCGCAAGCCUGAUCCAGCCAUACCGCGUGGGUGAAGAAGGCCUUCGGGUUGUAAAGCCCUUUUGUUGGGAAAGAAAAGCAGCAGGUUAAUACCCCGCUGUUCUGACGGUACCCAAAGAAUAAGCACCGGCUAACUUCGUG
RNAcentral lists this ribosomal RNA (492 nucleotides) under uncultured bacterium. Its description in RNAcentral is "partial 16S ribosomal RNA". It matches the Rfam family "Bacterial small subunit ribosomal RNA", at positions 29 to 507 of the family's 1533-position model. The record is from RNAcentral.